Acomys russatus (golden spiny mouse) is the source of this 371-nucleotide long non-coding RNA. RefSeq lists it as uncharacterized. Lineage: Eukaryota; Metazoa; Chordata; Mammalia; Rodentia; Muridae. The transcript is spliced from 3 exons. The record is from RefSeq and is a predicted model, not a curated record.
GGCUCUAGUCACAGGCUCUGGGUAGUUGUGCAGGGGAAUGUCAGUAGUGGCGGUGGGGUGUCUCCAGCCCUCCUUUCUUGGAAUGUCUACUGUCACCUUGAGCUGAUGGGGUUUCUUCUGGGAAAGUCAAGCCACUGAUGGAAGAGAGAAGCCACUGCUGGUUAUAGAGGGAAAGCACACACGAACUGGUCGUGAGCAGAUACGAGUUAGAGGCACACACAUCGGCAACCUUUCCCUUUUCUCUUCUAACUAGGACCCUUUGCAAGGUGAUUACCCAAACCGCAAGAUCCACCCGUCUGCCCUAGCCCUGGGCGAGCAUCCCGCACCGCAGAUCCACCCCCUCCUGUCAGGUUCACGUCGUCCUUGGGCGU